ACAAAGAUUUCACUAAGGCCUGGGAAGCUUCAGUGGGAGAACUGAAGAAGGAUCAGUGAUGUUCUCACUCUGAAGUCUGCUAAUUCCUGAAGUGCAUCACUCAGCCAAGGGGCUGUAGCUUGGGCUGUUUGUAUUACCGUUGUAGAAAAAUGAAUUUGCCUGAUUCUGUUACUCUGUGAAGAAUAUACCAGGAAGAUUUUGCUGGAGGUAUCAGGGUUUGUUUCAAAUUUCCUGGUGAAACAUCUCAACACGAAGCCCUCUGCCUGUUCUGUUACUUUUACAUUCGGUAAUAGAGCCUAACUCUGCCUUCAGAUGUGAAGAACUAGUGUUUCCUCACAAAAA
RNAcentral lists this long non-coding RNA (342 nucleotides) under Apteryx owenii (little spotted kiwi). Its description in RNAcentral is "lncRNA (ENSAOWG00000017542.1)". The record is from RNAcentral. Lineage: Eukaryota; Metazoa; Chordata; Aves; Apterygiformes; Apterygidae.